RNAcentral lists this ribosomal RNA (497 nucleotides) under uncultured bacterium. RNAcentral's name for it is "partial 16S ribosomal RNA". It matches the Rfam family "Bacterial small subunit ribosomal RNA", at positions 28 to 507 of the family's 1533-position model. The record is from RNAcentral.
GAUGAACGCUGGCGGCGUGCCUAAUACAUGCAAGUCGAGCGAACAGACGAGGAGCUUGCUCCUCUGACGUUAGCGGCGGACGGGUGAGUAACACGUGGAUAACCUACCUAUAAGACUGGGAUAACUUCGGGAAACCGGAGCUAAUACCGGAGAAUAUAUUGAACCGCAUGGUUCAAUAGUGAAAGACGGUUUUGCUGUCACUGAUAGAUGGAUCCGCGCCGCAUUAGCUAGUUGGGAAGGUAACGGCUUACCAAGGCAACGAUGCGUAGCCGCCCUGAGAGGGUGAUCGGCCACACUGGAACUGAGACACGGUCCAGACUCCUACGGGAGGCAGCAGUAGGGAAUCUUCCGCAAUGGGCGAAAGCCUGACGGAGCAACGCCGCGUGAGUGAUGAAGGUCUUCGGAUCGUAAAACUCUGUUAUUAGGGAAGAACAAAUGUGUAAGUAACUAUGCACGUCUUGACGGUACCUAAUCAGAAAGCCACGGCUAACUACGUG